AGAAUAUCUUAUUAAGGAUUAUGCAAAAUAACCUUCUACAAAUCCUGAUAUUAUUACACCGCCCCAAAAACUUCAAAGCAUCAGGAAAGUUUCUUUUCUUUUUUUUUUUUAACUAAACCAGAUUCAGCUGGCUACCCCACUUGGCUACAGAGUACUAAAGAAGAGACUGAACUUGAUCCUGCAGCCCUUGCAUACACAACACUCCCAUUGACUCUAGAGAAGACUUAAGUGCAUGAAAGGAUUCCAGGAUCAAAAGGCUUGUGUUCAGACCUGGGUCCCAACUGAUGAGCCUAUUGUUGGCAACUUGCAAAACAGCAGGAAUGACAGACAUGGUAGAUUCAUGGUCCAAAGGACCAGCGUCAGCGAGAGAUGGCUGGAGGAACAGCAUCUGAGCCAGACAUUAGGUUCUAGGCCAUCUUUACAUCUUCUUGUGUGAAGGUUCAUGCCUGACUGCUGGUUUCAAGUCCUUUUCAUCCAGGAAGGAAAAGACCUGAUCAGGUAAGGCAGUACCCACUCUUCCACUUCCCUCCUUUUUUGCAUCAUUUCAUUUUCAUUGCUCUGUCUAGCACUUAAUACUUUCUAGUGUAGUCAUUA
This 594-nucleotide long non-coding RNA is filed under the name Capra hircus (goat). RNAcentral's name for it is "lncRNA (ENSCHIG00000006077.1)". The record is from RNAcentral. Lineage: Eukaryota; Metazoa; Chordata; Mammalia; Artiodactyla; Bovidae.